RNAcentral lists this small nuclear RNA (99 nucleotides) under Microtus ochrogaster (prairie vole). The record is from RNAcentral. Lineage: Eukaryota; Metazoa; Chordata; Mammalia; Rodentia; Cricetidae.
CUUGCUCUGGCAGGAUAUACUAAAAGGGGAACCUCACAGAGAUUAGCAGGGGCCCUGCACAAACAUGACAUACAAAUUUGUAAUUACUUCAUAGAUAAA